RNAcentral lists this ribosomal RNA (475 nucleotides) under uncultured bacterium. RNAcentral's name for it is "bacterial SSU rRNA". It matches the Rfam family "Bacterial small subunit ribosomal RNA", at positions 335 to 802 of the family's 1533-position model. The record is from RNAcentral.
ACUCCUACGGGAGGCAGCAGUGGGGAAUAUUGGACAAUGGGGGCAACCCUGAUCCAGCCAUGCCGCGUGUGUGAAGAAGGCCUUUUGGUUGUAAAGCACUUUAAGCAGGGAGGAGAGGCUAAUGGUUAAUACCCAUUAGAUUAGACGUUACCUGCAGAAUAAGCACCGGCUAACUCUGUGCCAGCAGCCGCGGUAAUACAGAGGGUGCGAGCGUUAAUCGGAAUUACUGGGCGUAAAGCGAUGUGUAGGUGGCUCAUUAAGUCACAUGUGAAAUCCCCGGGCUUAACCUGGGAACUGCAUGUGAUACUGGUGGUGCUAGAAUAUGUGAGAGGGAAGUAGAAUUCCAGGUGUAGCGGUGAAAUGCGUAGAGAUCUGGAGGAAUACCGAUGGCGAAGGCAGCUUCCUGGCAUAAUAUUGACACUGAGAUUCGAAAGCGUGGGUAGCAAACAGGAUUAGAUACCCUGGUAGCGAGUAG